UCGUUCGGUGGGCUGGUGGCGGUGCUGGACGCCACGAUCGUCGCGGUGGCGCUGCCGAACCUGAUGGCGGCGUUCGACGCGUCGCUGAUCGAU
Molecule: transfer RNA, 93 nt
Filed under: Rugosimonospora africana
Lineage: Bacteria; Bacillati; Actinomycetota; Actinomycetes; Micromonosporales; Micromonosporaceae
Description: tRNA-Arg
Source: RNAcentral